Molecule: transfer RNA, 72 nt
Filed under: Choiromyces venosus 120613-1
Lineage: Eukaryota; Fungi; Ascomycota; Pezizomycetes; Pezizales; Tuberaceae
Rfam family: tRNA
About the family: Transfer RNA (tRNA) molecules are approximately 80 nucleotides in length. Their secondary structure includes four short double-helical elements and three loops (D, anti-codon, and T loops). Further hydrogen bonds mediate the characteristic L-shaped molecular structure. tRNAs have two regions of fundamental functional importance: the anti-codon, which is responsible for specific mRNA codon recognition, and the 3' end, to which the tRNAs corresponding amino acid is attached (by aminoacyl-tRNA synthetases). tRNAs cope with the degeneracy of the genetic code in two manners: having more than one tRNA (with a specific anti-codon) for a particular amino acid; and 'wobble' base-pairing, i.e. permitting non-standard base-pairing at the 3rd anti-codon position.
Source: Rfam by way of RNAcentral
GGUUGCUUGGCCCAAUGCCAAGGCGCUUGACUACGAAUCAAGAGAUUGCAUGUUCGAUCCCUGCCGCAAUCA